GUUACAACUUAUACAUCAAGUCUUAUUUGAACAUUAGCCUAGUGUAUAAUUACCUGUUAAUGCUCUCAACACCAAGUGGCUUGUGGGGUCUUUUCCUCAACUAAACUCGUCAAAAACAGACUGUAAAACAUCCCAAAUCAAGGAAGCUUAAAAGCACUUAUCUCAAUGGGCAAAGAAUUGUGUAUGUAUAUAUAUGAGUUUUUACAUAAUUUUCCACCUAGCAUUUUGGAUCAAAUAAAAUAAGAAAAUUUUAAAAACAAGAAAUUUAUCCUUGCUUCAAAGAAGGUUUCGAAGAGCACAGAGCCACUUCUUCAGGAUGGAGACAGCAAGAAGUUACAAAGAAGCAAGCAGCGUGAAAAAAUGCAAGAGAGAAUCUUCAGUCUCCUAAGGCAGGUCUUUCAGAAAGGCUUGAAGAAAAUAUUAGCUAAACCCUUGAAAUCUGGGAGACAGACAAAGGAACCCAAACGUGAAGAGCAUUCAUUAAAAGAUGUAAAUAGCCAAGAUCCGUGC
Long non-coding RNA from Orcinus orca (killer whale), 510 nucleotides. RefSeq lists it as uncharacterized. The transcript has 3 exons. Lineage: Eukaryota; Metazoa; Chordata; Mammalia; Artiodactyla; Delphinidae. The record is from RefSeq and is a predicted model, not a curated record.